AAAAACAUAGCCUUUAGCCCCAAACAAGUAUUAAAGGUAUCGCCUGCCCAGUGAUCUUAUUUCAACGGCCGCGGUAUCCUAACCGUGCAAAGGUAGCGUAAUCAUUUGUCUCCUAAAUAGAGACUAGUAUGAACGGCUAACUGAGGGCCCAACUGUCUCCUAAGGCUAAUCAAUGAAACUGAUCUUCCAGUACAAAAGCUGAAAUAAACACAUAAGACGAGAAGACCCUGUGGAGCUUUAAAUUUAUACUAUAAACCCAAGAACAAUUACUUCCUCCCCCAAAACAAUAGUAAAAAUUUUUAGUUGGGGCGACUUCGGAAUAAAACAAAACUUCCAUGCCAGGGAUCCCACCCCUACCAAGGCAGACAUGCCAAAAUAUAAGUUCUUUUGACCCAGCAUAUCUGAUCAACGAACCAAGUUACCCCAGGGAUAACAGCGCCAUCCUCUUCAAGAGUCCCUAUCGACAAGAGGGUUUACGACCUCGAUGUUGGAUCAGGACACCCCGGUGGUGCAACCGCUACCAAAGGUUCGUUUGUUCAACGAUUAACAGU
This 551-nucleotide ribosomal RNA is filed under the name Paniegekko madjo. RNAcentral describes it as "partial 16S ribosomal RNA". It matches the Rfam family "Bacterial large subunit ribosomal RNA", at positions 1809 to 2594 of the family's 2925-position model. Lineage: Eukaryota; Metazoa; Chordata; Lepidosauria; Squamata; Diplodactylidae. The record is from RNAcentral.